UACGGAGGGUGCUAGCGUUAAUCGGAAUUACUGGGCGUAAAGGGUGCGUAGGUGGUUUAAUAAGUUAUUUGUGAAAGCCCCGGGCUUAACCUGGGAAGGUCAAGUAAAACUGUUAAACUUGAGUAUAGGAGAGGGUAGUGGAAUUUCCGGUGUAGCGGUGAAAUGCGUAGAGAUCGGAAGGAACACCAGUGGCGAAGGCGGCUACCUGGCCUGAUACUGACACUGAGGCACGAAAGCGUGGGGAGCAAACAGG
Molecule: ribosomal RNA, 253 nt
Filed under: uncultured Legionella sp.
Lineage: Bacteria; Pseudomonadati; Pseudomonadota; Gammaproteobacteria; Legionellales; Legionellaceae
Description: partial 16S ribosomal RNA
Rfam family: Bacterial small subunit ribosomal RNA
Source: RNAcentral